RNAcentral lists this long non-coding RNA (1126 nucleotides) under Ovis aries (sheep). RNAcentral's name for it is "lncRNA (ENSOARG00000026331.1)". The record is from RNAcentral. Lineage: Eukaryota; Metazoa; Chordata; Mammalia; Artiodactyla; Bovidae.
CAACGUUAAAACCAAUGAUAUAUAAUCUAUUUGAGUGACCGGAGACCAUAACCUAGAGCCUAAUGAGCCAUUCCCUAUAUAUCAAACAAUGUGUCUCACUGACAUCUGAGCAGAGCUCAGAAUGAAUCAGCUCUGUUGGUCACUAACCGAUGUGCAGUUAACACUAGGCACGGUGGUGAAGACAAGUCUUAGAGAGGCCAUGAUCUCCCAAAGCUGCUUUUUGGGCUCAAGAAGCCAGCCAGUUAUUAAUACUUGACCACACAUAGCGGAUGCAAAUAACAAGGUUCCACAGGGCCCGAUGGCAGUAACAUAUCCAGCGGGACUUUGCCAACUAAGGUCCGUCUAGUCAAGGCUAUGGUUUUUCCUGUGGUCAUGUAUGGAUGUGAGAGUUGGACUGUGAAGAAAGCUGAGCGCCGGUGUUGGAGAAGACUCUUGAGAGUCCCUUGGACUGCAAGGAGAUCCAACCAGUCCAUUCUAAAGGAGAUCAGCCCUGGGAUUUCUUUGGAAGGAAUGAUGCUAAAGCUGAAACUCCAGUACUUUGGCCACCUCAUGCGAAGAGUUGACUCAUUGGAAAAGACUCUGAUGCUGGGAGGGAUUGGGGGCAGGUGGAGAAGGGGACGACCGAGGAUGAGAUGGCUGGAUGGCAUGACUGACUCGAUGGACAUGAGUCUGAGUGAACUCCGGGAGUUGGUGAUGGAUGGGGAGGCCUGGCGUGCUGCGAUUCAUGGGGUCAGAAAGAGUCGGACACGACUGAGCGACUGAACUGAACUGAACUGAAGCAUAAGGAGUUAGAUAAUAAGUUUGCAGGAGAAAACAGAGUUAGAAGGUUACAGAGCAGAAAUUCGAAAAAAUUCUUACACUGCAAGAAGUGAAUGAGGACUAACAGCAAUAAACAUCAGCAAGCUUUCAUUAAAAACUAGCUUCCAAACUAAUGGUACAAACUUUCCUUUAUCCAAAUAAUAACAUUAUGACCUGUGAAAAUUGAAUGCCCCACUUUGACCAUUUAAUUCUUAACCCAAAGACAGUGUGUUUACACACCCCAAAUUUCAUCUGUAAGGUGAAUGAAAAUGUGUUUUUUUACGUAUUCUUCUGUAAAUAUUCCAUACAUAAUACACAUAUUCAGACC